AGUUUGAUCAUGGCUCAGGACGAACGCUGGCGGCGUGCUUAACACAUGCAAGUCUAGGGGGCCCAGCAAUGGGUCACCGGCGAACGGGUGCGUAACACGUGAGCGACCUACCUCGAGAUGGGGGAUAGCCGGCCCAACGGCCGGGUAAUACCGCAUACGCUCUUCGGGCCUCAUGGCUUGGAGAGGAAAGCUUUAGCGUCUCUAGAGGGGCUCGCGGCCUAUCAGCUUGUUGGCGGGGUAACGGCCCACCAAGGCUAUGACGGGUAGCUGGUCUGAGAGGAUGGCCAGCCACAUUGGGACUGAGAAACGGCCCAGACUCCUACGGGAGGCAGCAGUGGGGAAUAUUGCGCAAUGGUCGAAAGACUGACGCAGCGACGCCGCGUGGAGGAUGAAGCCCUUCGGGGUGUAAACUCCUGUUGCUCGGGACGAAACCCCCUUUCGAGGGGACUGACGGUACCGAGUGAGGAAGCACCGGCUAACUCUGUGCCAGCAGCCGCGGUAAUACAGAGGGUGCGAGCGUUGUCCGGAAUCACUGGGCGUAAAGGGCGCGUAGGCGGCUUGGUAAGCGUGCGGUGAAAGCUCGAGGCUCAACCUCGAGUCUGCCGUGCGAACUGCCGAGCUGGAGCACGGUAGAGGCACAUGGAA
RNAcentral lists this ribosomal RNA (645 nucleotides) under uncultured bacterium. RNAcentral's name for it is "bacterial SSU rRNA". It matches the Rfam family "Bacterial small subunit ribosomal RNA", at positions 10 to 666 of the family's 1533-position model. The record is from RNAcentral.